This 135-nucleotide small RNA is filed under the name uncultured Eubacterium sp. RNAcentral describes it as "Ribosomal protein L10 leader". It matches the Rfam family "Ribosomal protein L10 leader". From Rfam's summary of the family: This family is a putative r-protein leader autoregulatory structure found in B. subtilis and other low-GC Gram-positive bacteria. It is located in the 5' untranslated regions of mRNAs encoding ribosomal proteins L10 and L12 (rplJ-rplL). Lineage: Bacteria; Bacillati; Bacillota; Clostridia; Eubacteriales; Eubacteriaceae. The record is from RNAcentral.
UUACAAAAUUGCCGAAGACAGCAGGUGCCAUUAAGGCAUAAACGCAGAACCUGCCGAGGGAAUUUACAAAACAGAUGAAUGUUUAUGUAAAAAGAAUUUUCUCCCUCUGUCUGCGUGGCAGAGGGAUUUUUUAUG